AGAGUUUGAUCCUGGCUCAGAACGAACGCUGGCGGCGUGGAUAAGACAUGCAAGUCGAACGGAUUCAUAUGAGAUUAUAUCAAGUGUGGGUCAGUGGCGGACGGGUGCGUAACACGUGAACAAUCUGCCGGAAGGAGGGGGAUAGCCCAUGGAAACGUGGAUUAAUACCCUGUGUGGUUUCAACAGGCAUCUGUUGACAACUAAACGUGGCGCAAGCUGCGGCCUUCCGAUGAGUUCGCGGCCUAUCAGCUUGUUAGCGGGGUAACGGCCCACCAAGGCGAUGACGGGUAGCUGGUCUGAGAGGAUGACCAGCCACACUGGAACUGAGACACGGUCCAGACACCUACGGGUGGCAGCAGUCGAGAAUCAUUCACAAUGGGCGAAAGCCUGAUGGUGUGACGCCGCGUGGAGGAUGACGGUCUUCGGAUUGUAAACUCCUGUCAUGUGAGAGUAAGUUUCAGGGAGUAACUGCCCGUGAAAUUGAGAGUAUCACAAGAGGAAGAGGCGGCUAACUCUGUGCCAGCAGCCGCGGUAAUACAGAGGCCUCAAGCGUUGUUCGGAAUCACUGGGCGUAAAGGGUGCGUAGGCGGCGCGGAAAGUCAGGGGUGAAAUCCCGGAGCUCAACUCCGGAACUGCCUUUGAUACUCCCGCGCUUGAGAACUGGAGGGGAGAUCGGAAUUCACGGUGGAGCAGUGAAAUGCGUGGAUAUCGUGAGGAACACUAGUGGCGAAGGCGGAUCUCUGGACAGUAUCUGACGCUGAGGCACGAAGGCCAGGGGAGCGAACGGGAUUAGAUACCCCGGUAGUCCUGGCAGUAAACGGUGCACGCUUGGUAUGGGGGGAAUCGACCCCUCCCGUGCCGGAGCUAACGCGUAAGCUGCCGCCUG
This 886-nucleotide ribosomal RNA is filed under the name uncultured bacterium. RNAcentral's name for it is "bacterial SSU rRNA". It matches the Rfam family "Bacterial small subunit ribosomal RNA", at positions 9 to 873 of the family's 1533-position model. The record is from RNAcentral.